CUUCUCAACAUGGAAGUGUCAACUUGCCUCCCACCCGGACAGCGACAAUGAUGGAAGUCCAAAGAACCAACUCUGUUUAUGAUCUGUGCACUGCAGAUUUUGUAUAUCCAUCGCACAUUUUUCCUUCUAGAGAGUACAUAAAUUUCAUGUGUGAAUGUGUUUUCUAUAGCCUCCAUCAAAUGUAAGGAUCCCCAGAGGAUUAAGACACACCCUUCGAACAUCGGUUGACUAUGCACGUAUGGGCUUAAUUAUUUCGCCACCGGCUGCCUGUUUUGUAGUUUUAUUCACAGAUGUAUAACGUACACUUUUUUCUUCA
Arabidopsis thaliana (thale cress) is the source of this 316-nucleotide long non-coding RNA. RefSeq annotates it as other RNA. The transcript has a single exon. NCBI's taxonomy places the organism in Eukaryota, Viridiplantae, Streptophyta, Magnoliopsida, Brassicales, Brassicaceae. The record is from RefSeq.